UCGCCCGAGAACUACGAGCACACGCUUAAAACUCAAAGGACUUGACGGUGUCCCACCCAACUAGAGGAGCCUGUUCUAUAAUCGAUAAUCCCCGAUAAACCUCACCACUUCUAGCCCAUCAGUCUGUAUACCUCCGUCGAAAGCUUACCCUGUGAACGAUCAUUAGUAAGCAGUAAGGUCUAUCCACCAAAACGUCAGGUCAAGGUGCAGCUUACGAAGUGGGAAGAAAUGGGCUACAAUUUCUAAACUAGAACAAACGAAAAGAUCUGCAUGAAACACAGUCAUGAAGGCGGAUUUAGUAGUAAAAAGAAAAUAGAGUGUUCUUUUUAACCGAGCACUGGNUACCG
RNAcentral lists this ribosomal RNA (347 nucleotides) under Leptopelis vermiculatus (vermiculated tree frog). Its description in RNAcentral is "partial 12S ribosomal RNA". It matches the Rfam family "Bacterial small subunit ribosomal RNA", at positions 869 to 1383 of the family's 1533-position model. The record is from RNAcentral. Lineage: Eukaryota; Metazoa; Chordata; Amphibia; Anura; Arthroleptidae.